Molecule: ribosomal RNA, 443 nt
Filed under: uncultured bacterium
Lineage: Bacteria
Description: partial 16S ribosomal RNA
Rfam family: Bacterial small subunit ribosomal RNA
Source: RNAcentral
CCUCCUUUCUUCCUCCUUGGGGCAUCUUGGGCAAUGGGCGCAAGCCUGACCCAGCAACGCCGCGUGAAGGAAGAAGGCCCUCGGGUUGUAAACUUCUUUUAUCAAGGACGAAACAAAUGACGGUACUUGAUGAAUAAGCCACGGCUAACUACGUGCCAGCAGCCGCGGUAAUACGUAGGUGGCAAGCGUUAUCCGGAUUUACUGGGUGUAAAGGGCGUGUAGGCGGGACUGCAAGUCAGAUGUGAAAACCAUGGGCUCAACCCAUGGCCUGCAUUUGAAACUGUAGUUCUUGAGUGUUGGAGAGGCAGGCGGAAUUCCGUGUGUAGCGGUGAAAUGCGUAGAUAUACGGAGGAACACCAGUGGCGAAGGCGGCCUGCUGGACAAUAACUGACGCUGAGGCGCGAAAGCGUGGGGAGCAAACAGGAUUAGAUACCCUUGUAGUC